This 2919-nucleotide ribosomal RNA is filed under the name Salmonella enterica subsp. enterica serovar Enteritidis str. P125109. RNAcentral's name for it is "bacterial LSU rRNA". It matches the Rfam family "Bacterial large subunit ribosomal RNA". The record is from RNAcentral. Lineage: Bacteria; Pseudomonadati; Pseudomonadota; Gammaproteobacteria; Enterobacterales; Enterobacteriaceae.
GGUUAAGCGACUAAGCGUACACGGUGGAUGCCCUGGCAGUCAGAGGCGAUGAAGGGCGUACUAAUCUGCGAUAAGCGCCGGUAAGGUGAUAUGAACCGUUAUAACCGGCGAUACCCGAAUGGGGAAACCCAGUGUGAUUCGUCACACUAUCAUUAACUGAAUCCAUAGGUUAAUGAGGCGAACCGGGGGAACUGAAACAUCUAAGUACCCCGAGGAAAAGAAAUCAACCGAGAUUCCCCCAGUAGCGGCGAGCGAACGGGGAGGAGCCCAGAGCCUGAAUCAGCAUGUGUGUUAGUGGAAGCGUCUGGAAAGGCGCGCGAUACAGGGUGACAGCCCCGUACACAAAAGCGCAUGUGCUGUGAGCUCGAUGAGUAGGGCGGGACACGUGGUAUCCUGUCUGAAUAUGGGGGGACCAUCCUCCAAGGCUAAAUACUCCUGACUGACCGAUAGUGAACCAGUACCGUGAGGGAAAGGCGAAAAGAACCCCGGCGAGGGGAGUGAAAAAGAACCUGAAACCGUGUACGUACAAGCAGUGGGAGCACAGGUUUACCUGUGUGACUGCGUACCUUUUGUAUAAUGGGUCAGCGACUUAUAUUCUGUAGCAAGGUUAACCGAAUAGGGGAGCCGGAGGGAAACCGAGUCUUAAUUGGGCGUUAAGUUGCAGGGUAUAGACCCGAAACCCGGUGAUCUAGCCAUGGGCAGGUUGAAGGUUGGGUAACACUAACUGGAGGACCGAACCGACUAAUGUUGAAAAAUUAGCGGAUGACCUGUGGCUGGGGGUGAAAGGCCAAUCAAACCGGGAGAUAGCUGGUUCUCCCCGAAAGCUAUUUAGGUAGCGCCUCGUGAAUUCAUCUCCGGGGGUAGAGCACUGUUUCGGCUAGGGGGCCAUCCCGGCUUACCAACCCGAUGCAAACUGCGAAUACCGGAGAAUGUUAUCACGGGAGACACACGGCGGGUGCUAACGUCCGUCGUGAAGAGGGAAACAACCCAGACCGCCAGCUAAGGUCCCAAAGUCAUGGUUAAGUGGGAAACGAUGUGGGAAGGCCCAGACAGCCAGGAUGUUGGCUUAGAAGCAGCCAUCAUUUAAAGAAAGCGUAAUAGCUCACUGGUCGAGUCGGCCUGCGCGGAAGAUGUAACGGGGCUAAACCAUGCACCGAAGCUGCGGCAGCGACACUGUGUGUUGUUGGGUAGGGGAGCGUUCUGUAAGCCUGCGAAGGUGGCCUGUGAGGGUUGCUGGAGGUAUCAGAAGUGCGAAUGCUGACAUAAGUAACGAUAAAGCGGGUGAAAAGCCCGCUCGCCGGAAGACCAAGGGUUCCUGUCCAACGUUAAUCGGGGCAGGGUGAGUCGACCCCUAAGGCGAGGCCGAAAGGCGUAGUCGAUGGGAAACGGGUUAAUAUUCCCGUACUUGGUGUUACUGCGAAGGGGGGACGGAGAAGGCUAUGUUGGCCGGGCGACGGUUGUCCCGGUUUAAGCGUGUAGGUGUGUGUUCCAGGUAAAUCCGGUUCACUUUAACACUGAGGCGUGACGACGAGGCACUACGGUGCUGAAGCAACAAAUGCCCUGCUUCCAGGAAAAGCCUCUAAGCAUCAGGUAACAUCAAAUCGUACCCCAAACCGACACAGGUGGUCAGGUAGAGAAUACCAAGGCGCUUGAGAGAACUCGGGUGAAGGAACUAGGCAAAAUGGUGCCGUAACUUCGGGAGAAGGCACGCUGACACGUAGGUGAAGUGAUUUACUCAUGGAGCUGAAGUCAGUCGAAGAUACCAGCUGGCUGCAACUGUUUAUUAAAAACACAGCACUGUGCAAACACGAAAGUGGACGUAUACGGUGUGACGCCUGCCCGGUGCCGGAAGGUUAAUUGAUGGGGUCAGCGCAAGCGAAGCUCCUGAUCGAAGCCCCGGUAAACGGCGGCCGUAACUAUAACGGUCCUAAGGUAGCGAAAUUCCUUGUCGGGUAAGUUCCGACCUGCACGAAUGGCGUAAUGAUGGCCAGGCUGUCUCCACCCGAGACUCAGUGAAAUUGAACUCGCUGUGAAGAUGCAGUGUACCCGCGGCAAGACGGAAAGACCCCGUGAACCUUUACUAUAGCUUGACACUGAACAUUGAGCCUUGAUGUGUAGGAUAGGUGGGAGGCUUUGAAGUGUGGACGCCAGUCUGCAUGGAGCCGACCUUGAAAUACCACCCUUUAAUGUUUGAUGUUCUAACGUGGACCCGUUACCCGGGUUGCGGACAGUGUCUGGUGGGUAGUUUGACUGGGGCGGUCUCCUCCUAAAGAGUAACGGAGGAGCACGAAGGUUGGCUAAUCCUGGUCGGACAUCAGGAGGUUAGUGCAAUGGCAUAAGCCAGCUUGACUGCGAGCGUGACGGCGCGAGCAGGUGCGAAAGCAGGUCAUAGUGAUCCGGUGGUUCUGAAUGGAAGGGCCAUCGCUCAACGGAUAAAAGGUACUCCGGGGAUAACAGGCUGAUACCGCCCAAGAGUUCAUAUCGACGGCGGUGUUUGGCACCUCGAUGUCGGCUCAUCACAUCCUGGGGCUGAAGUAGGUCCCAAGGGUAUGGCUGUUCGCCAUUUAAAGUGGUACGCGAGCUGGGUUUAGAACGUCGUGAGACAGUUCGGUCCCUAUCUGCCGUGGGCGCUGGAGAACUGAGGGGGGCUGCUCCUAGUACGAGAGGACCGGAGUGGACGCAUCACUGGUGUUCGGGUUGUCAUGCCAAUGGCACUGCCCGGUAGCUAAAUGCGGAAGAGAUAAGUGCUGAAAGCAUCUAAGCACGAAACUUGCCCCGAGAUGAGUUCUCCCUGAGACUUAAAGUCUCCUGAAGGAACGUUGAAGACGACGACGUUGAUAGGCCGGGUGUGUAAGCGCAGCGAUGCGUUGAGCUAACCGGUACUAAUGAACCGUGAGGCUUAACCUUACAACGCCGAAG